RNAcentral lists this transfer RNA (146 nucleotides) under Phialocephala subalpina. It matches the Rfam family "tRNA". Rfam says of the family: Transfer RNA (tRNA) molecules are approximately 80 nucleotides in length. Their secondary structure includes four short double-helical elements and three loops (D, anti-codon, and T loops). Further hydrogen bonds mediate the characteristic L-shaped molecular structure. tRNAs have two regions of fundamental functional importance: the anti-codon, which is responsible for specific mRNA codon recognition, and the 3' end, to which the tRNAs corresponding amino acid is attached (by aminoacyl-tRNA synthetases). tRNAs cope with the degeneracy of the genetic code in two manners: having more than one tRNA (with a specific anti-codon) for a particular amino acid; and 'wobble' base-pairing, i.e. permitting non-standard base-pairing at the 3rd anti-codon position. Lineage: Eukaryota; Fungi; Ascomycota; Leotiomycetes; Helotiales; Mollisiaceae. The record is from Rfam by way of RNAcentral.
GGACAGAUGGCCGAGUUGGUAAGCCACGAUUUCCGAUAUUGAAUAUACAAUACUAACAUUCAUAGGUUAUGGCGCCAGGUUAAGGUCUUCUUAGCACAAAUUUCCUGGUCACGAAAGUGGCGUGGGUUCGAGUCCCACUCUGUUCA